CUGAAUCCCAUUUUCUUUGAGAAGUUGCCAUACUGAUUUCCAAAGUGGCUCUACAAGUUGGCACUCCCACCAGCAGUAAACAAGGAGGAUCCAAAAAGAGACAAACUUUGUCCCCUGGAGAAGAGGAUAGGGUCACCAUGCCCUGAGCAAUUUGAGAACAUGGGAAGAGGGGGGAGGGAGCUACGAGAAUGAGAAGAAUGUUGAUUCUUACAUUCCGCCGCCGCAGACUGGCCUGGAACUAGGUGAGUGAGCUCCUGCCCGCUCCCGACUCCAGGCCAGAACACCCCACCACCCCCAUCCCACCACCCCCUCCUGAGCCUGCCGGCUUGGGCCAGACACGCCCAGAGAGGGAGGAGCCCUCUGCCCCACCAAUCUGCUAGCACUCCAUUCUUACAUUCCGC
This 401-nucleotide long non-coding RNA is filed under the name Cricetulus griseus (Chinese hamster). RNAcentral's name for it is "lncRNA (ENSCGRG00015037121.1)". The record is from RNAcentral. Lineage: Eukaryota; Metazoa; Chordata; Mammalia; Rodentia; Cricetidae.